CCUACGGGAGGCAGCAGUGGGGAAUUUUGGACAAUGGGCGAAAGCCUGAUCCAGCAAUGCCGCGUGAGUGAAGAAGGCCUUCGGGUUGUAAAGCUCUUUUGUCAGGGAAGAAACGGUGAAAGCUAAUAUCUUUUGCUAAUGACGGUACCUGAAGAAUAAGCACCGGCUAACUACGUGCCAGCAGCCGCGGCAAUACGUAGGGUGCAAGCGUUAAUCGGAAUUACUGGGCGUAAAGCGUGCGCAGGCGGUUUUGUAAGUCUGAUGUGAAAUCCCCGGGCUCAACCUGGGAAUUGCAUUGGAGACUGCAAGGCUAGAAUCUGGCAGAGGGGGGUAGAAUUCCACGUGUAGCAGUGAAAUGCGUAGAUAUGUGGAGGAACACCGAUGGCGAAGGCAGCCCCCUGGGUCAAGAUUGACGCUCAUGCACGAAAGCGUGGGGAGCAAACAGGAUUAGAUACCCUGGUAGUCCACGCCCUAAACGAUGUCUACUAGUUGUCGGGUCUUAAUUGACUUGGUAACGCAGCUAACGCGUGAAGUAGACCGCCUGGGGAGUACGGUCGCAAGAUUAAAACUUAAAGGAAUUGACGG
This 585-nucleotide ribosomal RNA is filed under the name uncultured bacterium. RNAcentral describes it as "bacterial SSU rRNA". It matches the Rfam family "Bacterial small subunit ribosomal RNA", at positions 338 to 916 of the family's 1533-position model. The record is from RNAcentral.